This 659-nucleotide ribosomal RNA is filed under the name uncultured bacterium. Its description in RNAcentral is "bacterial SSU rRNA". It matches the Rfam family "Bacterial small subunit ribosomal RNA", at positions 814 to 1482 of the family's 1533-position model. The record is from RNAcentral.
CACUAGGUAUGGGGAGUAUCGACCCUAUUUGUGCCGUAGCUAACGCGUUAAGUGUCCCGCCUGGGGAUUACGGCCGCAAGGCUAAAAUUCAAAGGAAUUGACGGGGGCCCGCACAAGCAGCGGAGCGUGUGGUUUAAUUCGAUGAUACACGAAGAACCUUACCUGGGCUUGACAUGUUGGAAGUAGGAACCCGAAAGGGGGACGACCUGUAAAAUCAGGAACCAUCACAGGUGCUGCAUGGCUGUCGUCAGCUCGUGUCGUGAGAUGUCGGGUUAAGUCCCGUAACGAGCGCAACCCUCGUCCUGUGUUGCACUCUCACAGGAGACUGCCUCGCAAAACGGGGAGGAAGGUGGGGAUGACGUCAAGUCAGCAUGGCUCUUACGCCCAGGGCUACACACACGCUACAAUGGGCGGUACAGAGGGAAGCGAUAGGGCGACCUGGAGCUGAUCCCUAAAAACCGUCCUCAGUUCAGAUUGCAGGCUGAAACUCGCCUGCAUGAAGGUGGAGUUGCUAGUAACCGCAGGUCAGCAUACUGUGGUGAAUACGUUCUCGGGCCUUGUACACACCGCCCGUCACGCCAUGGAAGCUGGCAAAACCUGAAGUCGAUGCGCUAACUCUUGAGGAGCAGUCGCCGAAGGUUGGGCUAGUGACUGGGGCG